This 451-nucleotide ribosomal RNA is filed under the name uncultured bacterium. RNAcentral describes it as "bacterial SSU rRNA". It matches the Rfam family "Bacterial small subunit ribosomal RNA", at positions 28 to 491 of the family's 1533-position model. The record is from RNAcentral.
GAUGAACGCUAGCUACAGGCUUAACACAUGCAAGUCGAGGGGCAGCGGGAUUGUAGCAAUACAAUUGCCGGCGACCGGCGCACGGGUGAGUAACACGUAUCCAACCUUCCGGUUACUCGGGGAUAGCCUUUCGAAAGAAAGAUUAAUACCCGAUAGUAUAAAUUUUCCGCAUGGUUUGUUUAUUAAAGAUUCAUCGGUAACCGAUGGGGAUGCGUUCCAUUAGAUAGUAGGCGGGGUAACGGCCCACCUAGUCGACGAUUGGUAGCCGGACUGAGAGGUUGAACGGCCACAUUGGGACUGAGACACGGCCCAGACUCCUACGGGAGGCAGCAGUGGGGGAUAUUGCACAAUGGGGGAAACCCUGAUGCAGCGACGCGCGUGGAGGAAGAAGGUUUUCGGAUUGUAAACUCCUGUCGUUAGGGACGAUAAUGACGGUACCUAACAAGAAAGC